RNAcentral lists this ribosomal RNA (427 nucleotides) under uncultured bacterium. RNAcentral's name for it is "bacterial SSU rRNA". It matches the Rfam family "Bacterial small subunit ribosomal RNA", at positions 355 to 774 of the family's 1533-position model. The record is from RNAcentral.
UAAGGAAUAUUGGACAAUGCCCGCAAGGGUGAUCCAGCCAUGCCGCGUGUGUGAAGAAGGUCUUCGGAUUGUAAAGCACUUUAAGUUGGGAGGAAGAGCAGUUACCUAAUACGUGAUUGUUUUGACGUUACCGACAGAAUAAGCACCGGCUAACUCUGUGCCAGCAGCCGCGGUAAUACAGAGGGUGCAAGCGUUAAUCGGAAUUACUGGGCGUAAAGCGCGCGUAGGUGGUUUGUUAAGUUGAAUGUGAAAUCCCCGGGCUCAACCUGGGAACUGCAUCCAAAACUGGCAAGCUAGAGUAUGGUAGAGGGUAGUGGAAUUUCCUGUGUAGCGGUGAAAUGCGUAGAUAUAGGAAGGAACACCAGUGGCGAAGGCGACUACCUGGACUGAUACUGACACUGAGGUGCGAAAGCGUGGGGAGCAAACA